GCCCGCCUAGCUCAACGGUUAGAGUAACACGCAGUAUUGCAUGUGGCAGCGAGUUCGACUCUCGCGGUGGGCC
Non-coding RNA from Imleria badia, 73 nucleotides. The record is from the annotation of a GenBank genome assembly. NCBI's taxonomy places the organism in Eukaryota, Fungi, Basidiomycota, Agaricomycetes, Boletales, Boletaceae.